AAAUCAGUUAUCGUUUAUUUGAUAGUACCUUACUACUUGGAUACCUGUGGUAAUUCUAGAGCUAAUACAUGCUAAAAACCCCGACUUCGGAAGGGGUGUAUUUAUUAGAUAAAAAACCAAUGCCCUUCGGGGCUCCUUGGUGAUUCAUAAUAACUUCUCAGAUCGCAUGGCCUUGCGCCGGCGACGGUUCAUUCAAAUUUCUGCCCUAUCAACUUUCGAUGGUAAGGUAUUGGCUUACCAUGGUUUCUACGGGUAACGGGGAAUUAGGGUUCGAUUCCGGAGAGUUAGCCUGAGAAACGGCUAACACAUCCAAGGAAGGCAGCAGGCGCGCAAAUUACCCAAUCCUGAUACAGGGAGGUAGUGACAAUAAAUACUGAUACAGGGCUCUUUUGGGUCUUGUAAUCGGAAUGAGUACAAUUUAAACCUCUUAACGAGGAACAAUUGGAGGGCAAGUCUGGUGCCAGCAGCCGCGGUAAUUCCAGCUCCAAUAGCGUAUAUUAAAGUUGUUGCAGUUAAAAAGCUCGUAGUUGAACCUUUGGCCUGGCUGGUAGGUCCGCCUCACCGCGUGCACUUGUCCGGCCGGGCCUUUUCUUCUGGAGAACCGCAUGCCCUUCACUGGGUGUGUUGGGGACCAGGACUUUUACUUUGAAAAAAUUAGAGUGUUCAAAGCAGGCCUUUGCUCGAAUAUUACAGCAUGGAAUAAUAAAAUAGGACGUGCGGUUCUAUUUUGUUGGUUUCUAGGACCGCCGUAAUGAUUAAUAGGGACAGUCGGGGGCAUCAGUAUUCAAUUGUCAGAGGUGAAAUUCUUGGAUUUAUUGAAGACUAACUACUGC
This 833-nucleotide ribosomal RNA is filed under the name Helminthosporium submersum. RNAcentral's name for it is "SSU rRNA". It matches the Rfam family "Eukaryotic small subunit ribosomal RNA", at positions 103 to 946 of the family's 1831-position model. Lineage: Eukaryota; Fungi; Ascomycota; Dothideomycetes; Pleosporales; Massarinaceae. The record is from RNAcentral.